UUCGCAAUGCCCGAAAGGGUGACGAAGCGACGCCGCGUGUGGGAAGAAGGCCUUCGGGUUGUAAACCACUGUCGGGAGUUAGGAAAUGUAAGGGUGUUAAUAGUAUCCUUACUUGACUAAGGCUCCGGAGGAAGCCACGGCUAACUCUGUGCCAGCAGCCGCGGUAAUACAGAGGCGGCAAGCGUUGUUCGGAAUUAUUGGGCGUAAAGAGCACGUAGGCGGCCUUGUAAGUCAGUUGUGAAAGCCUUCUGCUUAACGGAAGAACAGCAGCUGAUACUGCAAGGCUAGAGUGCGGAAGGGGAGAGUGGAACUUCUGGUGGAGCGGUGAAAUGCGUAGAUAUCAGAAGGAACGCCGGCGGCGAAAGCGGCUCUCUGGCCCAUAACUGACGCUGAGUGUGCGAAAGCUAGGGGAGCAAACGGGAUUAGAUACCCCGGUAGUCCUAGCCGUAAACGAUGGGCACUAAGUAGAGGGGUUUU
This 477-nucleotide ribosomal RNA is filed under the name uncultured anaerobic ammonium-oxidizing bacterium. Its description in RNAcentral is "bacterial SSU rRNA". It matches the Rfam family "Bacterial small subunit ribosomal RNA", at positions 365 to 832 of the family's 1533-position model. The record is from RNAcentral.